This 280-nucleotide ribosomal RNA is filed under the name Segatella copri DSM 18205. RNAcentral describes it as "Prevotella copri DSM 18205 partial 16S ribosomal RNA". It matches the Rfam family "Bacterial small subunit ribosomal RNA", at positions 493 to 776 of the family's 1533-position model. Lineage: Bacteria; Pseudomonadati; Bacteroidota; Bacteroidia; Bacteroidales; Prevotellaceae. The record is from RNAcentral.
UAUGGUAAUUGCCAGCCGCCGCGGUAAUACGGAAGGUCCGGGCGUUAUCCGGAUUUAUUGGGUUUAAAGGGAGCGUAGGCCGGAGAUUAAGCGUGUUGUGAAAUGUAGACGCUCAACGUCUGCACUGCAGCGCGAACUGGUUUCCUUGAGUACGCACAAAGUGGGCGGAAUUCGUGGUGUAGCGGUGAAAUGCUUAGAUAUCACGAAGAACUCCGAUUGCGAAGGCAGCUCACUGGAGCGCAACUGACGCUGAAGCUCGAAAGUGCGGGUAUCGAACAGG